RNAcentral lists this long non-coding RNA (929 nucleotides) under Equus caballus (horse). RNAcentral's name for it is "lncRNA (ENSECAG00000044743.1)". Lineage: Eukaryota; Metazoa; Chordata; Mammalia; Perissodactyla; Equidae. The record is from RNAcentral.
GCAGUGCAAAUGGACAAUAUUGACCUGGCUAAGAGAUGGGAAGAGGAGGGGCAAAUUUUAUUUUUCUAAUGUUCCAAGAUGGAGAGAAAAAAGAACAAAAGAGCAUCUUUUGUCCACAUGUGCCAAGGGAAAGAGUGGUUGGAAGAAGGGAAUACUAAACCCAAAGGCUGGGAGGUCCAGGAUCAUGGUGCCGGCAGAUUCAAUGUCUGAAGGCAACUCAAAACAAGAAGAAGAACAAUAAAUGUAUGUUCUAACAUGGACAAGCUAGACAACAUCUGAAACCCUGAACUAAAAUACAUGAGGAAGAGCCAGCAAAGCAGUUGUGGUCAAACAGGAGCAAGGGAGGAUGCAGGCAGAUAACGCCUACAACUGUGCAUUACAAGCAAAGCUGGCAGAGCACUGUUCUUGGGAGCAUGUCACACUCUGAGGGGAAAACCAACAAUUCUCUGUUGGGAAAACUGGGAAUAUUGUGCUGAGGUGGCAGUUAGGCGCAUCCUUGGACACAGGUAAGCAAUGGGAAGCAGCAGCGUUAGGGGGCUGAAUAAAGAAACACACCACUGUACCAGCUUUGCAAGAAGGAAUCUCUUGAUGAGACAGGAUAGAGAAAGUAGAGACAGCAUUGGUGACAUCCUACAGCAACUCAUCUCUAUUGUCUUGGGAGAAGUAAAAGCAAAACCAAGCUGUACUUACAGGACUGAGUCAUAAGAAAACCCACUGUGAACCAUGGACUGUCCAGCUAAUCCAUAACACUACCUGGCUCCUCCAUCACAUAGAAGUCUUACCAAUAGCAAACCUAAGAAGAACUCAGCUCUUUCAAAGAUGAGUAAUAUAAAUAAAUAUCAACCCAGAAAGCAUCUAUAUAAAGGUACCAAAAGGAAAGAAAGAAAAGGACAGGAAGAGGAAAAACAGUGGAAGAUGGAAGUUCACUC